AUAGUGUGAGUGAUUGAGUGGGAGAGAGGGUGUGUGUCAAUCUCAUAUAAAACAGGAGGAGAGUGGCACUGAGCAUGCUCAUUCCUCUGGUCUCCAAACCAAAACGUCCCACAGCAUACAUAUUUAGGAUGACAUCACACAGUUCUAGGAUCUUGCUGAGCAUAUAUAAAGUUUAUACUCGAAUGUCCGUUUUCCUAAAACACCUAUUCAAAGCAGAUUCUCUAUCUAGAUUAGCGGGAGGAAUACCCGGGUUUCCUUUAAACUUAC
This is a non-coding RNA of Pelobates cultripes (western spadefoot toad), 267 nucleotides long. The record is from the annotation of a GenBank genome assembly. Lineage: Eukaryota; Metazoa; Chordata; Amphibia; Anura; Pelobatidae.